This is a long non-coding RNA of Oreochromis aureus, 185 nucleotides long. RefSeq lists it as uncharacterized. The record is from RefSeq and is a predicted model, not a curated record. Lineage: Eukaryota; Metazoa; Chordata; Actinopteri; Cichliformes; Cichlidae. The transcript has 2 exons.
CGUAUUUACUUGCAUUCCUGUGUGAGUUAACCCUGUGUGCGUGCUUACAAUAUGACCACACACAUAUACACACUCACACUCCCUUUACCUGCAUGUGAAUACUGUAAUGCAAUCGCCUCCCCACCAACGCUGUACAUCCUGUUGAUGUCAUCUGCCACCUCCUUAUUAAAGUGAUUUGAACUACG